This is a long non-coding RNA of Oncorhynchus tshawytscha (Chinook salmon), 1485 nucleotides long. The record is from Ensembl. Lineage: Eukaryota; Metazoa; Chordata; Actinopteri; Salmoniformes; Salmonidae.
GCUGCGUCAUUUCCUGGAAACGACUUUCAACGGGAAGAGAAUAUUUGGCGCGGAAACUUCUGUUGUGUUGAGCUGUGUACCAAGAGAGAGAUGAAGGUUGUCAAUAAAUAGCAAUGGCUCCGGCUUCUAACACAUAGAAGCAUCGCACCUGGCAUUGAUGAGCCUGGAAAGAGUGGCGAUAACAUCAUUAUUGGCAGUGGCAUCUGGGCCCAGUUCCAAACAUGCCUUUCUUGGAAGCUGGAGGUUUGCUUUAAAGGUUAAAGGCAAAGAAGGAAAAUCCUCGUCUGACACGGUGGCGGAUUUGACCAGUGUGUAUGAAGAGGUGGACGAGGAACUCUCGGAUGGCGAGAGAGGCAGAACGGUGACUGGAUCGUUGAUGAUGUUUUCUUGAAGAUCACUCCGUGACACACACAAUGCAGUGGUUCAGCAGAAGAUGAUGCGCUGUCUGCCGCUGACUUCCCACUCGCCGUCUCUCGCCGCUGUCAUCAAAUGGACUCAUGCUAGCAACAAGUUCUGACUGAGCUCUAUUGUCAUGAAAUGCCAUACAACUGCAGAGUUUCUCUCUUUCUCAUACAAAGUUAUAACGAGGAGCGCCCACAAUGUGUUCUGUGUGGGGAAAGUGCUUACUGAUGAGUCUCUCAUAACGAACAAAUGAGUAAAAGGACACGCCCUGACCAAACAUCCACAGCAUGAUGGUAAACCCAGAGAGUUAUUUCAGAACAGGGCAGAAUGCUUCAGGAAACAGUGGUUCAGGAAACAGUGCUUCAGGAAACAGGGCUUCAGGAAACAGUGCUUCGGGAAACAGGGCUUCAGGAAACAGUGCUUCGGGAAACAGGGCUUCAGGAAACAGUGCUUCGGGAAACAGUGCUUCGGGAAACAGUGCUUCAGGAAACAGUGCUUCGGGAAACAGUGCUUCGGGAAACAGUGCUUCGGGAAACAGUGCUUCAGGAAACAGUGCUUCAGGAAACAGUGCUUCAGGAAACAGUGGAAAAGUAAGUCAGCUAGCAAGACAUUGUUGUCAUUUUAUAACAGGUGAUGGAUGAUAAGCAGAAAUAAGGGAAUACUAGCUAACUCUCAUAGUAGAUGUGAGUUUCUCUUUCAAACAAUCCUCUGGCCUUGUACACAGCUAAUAGCUAACAUUCACCAAAGCAAGCUAGCUACUGAUAGUGCAACCCUCAGUAACAGUCCAGAUGAAAAAUGAUCAGGCCUACUGUUCAUCUUACUGUUGAAAACUAGUCUAGGUUGGAACUGUUGCUGUUAAAAUACAAUAAUAAUUUGUAUUCUUAACUGGAAUAAACUGAUUGAAGCAAGAUGAUAUUUGAGGCAAACACACUCACACAGUUCUGUUUUUAUUUAUUUUUUAUUUCACCUUUAUUUAACCAGGUAGGCUAGUUGAGAACAAGUUCUCAUUUGCAACUGCGACCUGGCCAAGAUAAAGCAUAGCAGUGUGAACAGACCACAGAGUUACACAUGGAGUAAACAAUU